GUGUUCACUGUGUUGGCUUUAGUGAAAAGCUUACAAUUAAGGCACGCGGUGAAUGCGU
Molecule: microRNA precursor, 58 nt
Filed under: Euprymna scolopes
Lineage: Eukaryota; Metazoa; Mollusca; Cephalopoda; Sepiida; Sepiolidae
Description: Esc-Mir-124_pre stem-loop
Source: RNAcentral